AGCAGCCGCCACGGGAAUACGGAGGGUGCAAGCGUUAAUCGGAAUUACUGGGCGUAAAGCGCACGCAGGCGGUCUGUCAAGUCAGAUGUGAAAUCCCCGGGCUUAACCUGGGAACUGCAUUUGAAACUGGCAGGCUAGAGUCUUGUAGAGGGGGGUAGAAUUCCAGGUGUAGCGGUGAAAUGCGUAGAGAUCUGGAGGAAUACCGGUGGCGAAGGCGGCCCCCUGGACAAAGACUGACGCUCAGGUGCGAAAGCGUGGGGAGCAAACAGGAUUAGAUACCCCUGUAGUCCCUGUCUCUUAU
RNAcentral lists this ribosomal RNA (301 nucleotides) under uncultured bacterium. Its description in RNAcentral is "partial 16S ribosomal RNA". It matches the Rfam family "Bacterial small subunit ribosomal RNA", at positions 507 to 807 of the family's 1533-position model. The record is from RNAcentral.